Long non-coding RNA from Schistocerca americana (American grasshopper), 861 nucleotides. RefSeq lists it as uncharacterized. Lineage: Eukaryota; Metazoa; Arthropoda; Insecta; Orthoptera; Acrididae. The record is from RefSeq and is a predicted model, not a curated record. The transcript has 3 exons.
GUCACAGCUCACCCAAAUGUUCUCUGUCGCAGGUAAAGCUAUCGAGCGGAGCUGGACUUCUCUGACAUACGAGAUGCUGGCUGGCUCUCGCCACUAUUCUUCGUCUCCGCCUGUGUCAGAAUGUAAUUGCUUCAGGUGUGAUCCUUGAAGGAGAAAGAGGUUACACAUCACAGAAGAGGGUACACCUUCAUAAAAAAAGGAUGGUACACUUUUGGUCGGUGCUGGCGAUCCGGCACACGGCGGACGCCGAAUACUUGGACGGCGACGACGUCUUCUGCCCGCUGCGACGGCUUCGGCGAGGAACAAGACCUGCUAGUGGGUGACUAGAAGCGAUCACGUACCGACUCGCCGGCCGCCGCUACCCCGGUCGUCGGCGCCGGCGCCGCUGCCGGAGCCUCCUCCUCGUGCUCCAGGUCGGACGCGGCGGGCGACAGCGACCCGGAGCUGCUGAACAUGGAGUUGUCGUCGAGCGUGGGCGUCGCCUGGCUCAGGCCCUCCAGCUCCUGCAACACACGGCCGGCGCGCGUCAGGCGGCUGCUGGCGCGGCAAGGGGCGGAGCUGCGCCUUGCGGGAUUCCACAGAAUUUUCCCGUGUGAAAAGCACACGGCGUUGACCAUUUUCUGUUGCGCUACAUUCAUAUUAGUAUGUUCCCGAAUCAUAUCGGUAGUGUUAUGCACUUUUCAGACGGGUAAUCACGGGAAAAUGGCUACAUAAUCUGGAAGUAGCUGUGUGACUAAGUAGACUAAAUGUACACUACUGGCCAUUAAAACUGCUACACCACGGUGAUGACGUGCUACGGACGCGACAGGAAGAAGAUGCUGUGAUAUGCAAAGGAUUAGCUUUUCAGAUCAUUCACACAAG